This 450-nucleotide ribosomal RNA is filed under the name uncultured bacterium. RNAcentral describes it as "partial 16S ribosomal RNA". It matches the Rfam family "Bacterial small subunit ribosomal RNA", at positions 354 to 796 of the family's 1533-position model. The record is from RNAcentral.
GUGGGGAAUUUUGGACAAUGGGCGAAAGCCUGAUCCAGCCAUGCCGCGUGCAGGAUGAAGGCCUUCGGGUUGUAAACUGCUUUUGUACGGAACGAAAAGACUCCUUCUAAUAAAGGGGGUCCAUGACGGUACCGUAAGAAUAAGCACCGGCUAACUACGUGCCAGCAGCCGCGGUAAUACGUAGGGUGCAAGCGUUAAUCGGAAUUACUGGGCGUAAAGCGUGCGCAGGCGGUUAUAUAAGACAGAUGUGAAAGCCCCGGGCUCAACCUGGGAACUGCAUUUGUGACUGUAUAGCUAGAGUACGGUAGAGGGGGAUGGAAUUCCGCGUGUAGCAGUGAAAUGCGUAGAUAUGCGGAGGAACACCGAUGGCGAAGGCAAUCCCCUGGACCUGUACUGACGCUCAUGCACGAAAGCGUGGGGAGCAAACAGGAUUAGAAACCCGGGUAGUCC